UAUUGAGAUGAUGAGCAUCUUUUCUGAAUCUAUGCUUGUUGACUUCUAAAUUCAGACUACAAUUAUCUGAUCAAUU
Cucumis melo (muskmelon) is the source of this 76-nucleotide non-coding RNA. The record is from Rfam. Lineage: Eukaryota; Viridiplantae; Streptophyta; Magnoliopsida; Cucurbitales; Cucurbitaceae.